CUACGUAGGGGGCGAGCGUUGUCCGGAAUGAUUGGGCGUAAAGGGCGCGUAGGCGGCCCGGUAAGUCUGGAGUGAAAGUCCUGUUUUUAAGGUGGGAAUUGCUUUGGAUGCUGUCGGGCUUGAGUGCAGGAGAGGUAAGUGGAAUUCCCAGUGUAGCGGUGAAAUGCGUAGAGAUUGGGAGGAACACCAGUGGCGAAGGCGACUUACUGGACUGGAACUGACGCUGAGGCGCGAAAGUGUGGGGAGCAAACAGGAUUAGAUACCCUGGUAGUCCACACUGUAAACGAUGAAUGCUAGGUGUAGGGGGUAUCGACCCCUUCUGUGCCGCAGUCAACACAAUAAGCAUUCCGCCUGGGGAGUACGGCCGCAAGGUUGAAACUCAAAGGAAUUGGCGGGG
RNAcentral lists this ribosomal RNA (397 nucleotides) under uncultured bacterium. RNAcentral describes it as "partial 16S ribosomal RNA". It matches the Rfam family "Bacterial small subunit ribosomal RNA", at positions 523 to 918 of the family's 1533-position model. The record is from RNAcentral.